RNAcentral lists this small RNA (1002 nucleotides) under Drosophila mojavensis. RNAcentral's name for it is "GI25841". The record is from RNAcentral. Lineage: Eukaryota; Metazoa; Arthropoda; Insecta; Diptera; Drosophilidae.
AUUGAUGCAUGAUAGUAAAGAUUCUAAAAUGUAAUUAGAGCACUUCACAACGUAUUUAAGAAUAUCAAUGCGAAUUAUAAGAAACAGUCUUUCAAGCUAUUUCAACUAAGCUAAACUAAUAUCAAAAUGAAACUCUGGCUCAGGUUGGAAGGUAUUUUUCUUGUUGUCCUCGCCUUAAGCAUCCGGGAUAAUUUGGCGGCGCCGCGACCAUUUAUUAAUUUACACGUACCACUCUUUACAAUCGAUGUUGGUGGUAUAAAAAUAAGCACUGCCUAAUCUUGGGAUUGCCAAUAAAUUAGAUAUAUAGAAUUUUUUUAAAUCAAGCAUUUGUAAAUGAAUGAAGUGUGUUGGAUUCCAAAAAGGGAUUGUAUUCCAUUAAAAUGUUCUCUUUUUGUUUUAAAUCGACUCGGUUCGUCGCCCAGAUCAAGUAUUUAUGGUGUUUACCAAAUCCAGUAUACGCUGAAUUUUUAAUGGGCUUUUUUUAAUUAAUGAUCCUUAACAGGGUCCAUGACAUCGUUUAUCAGUCGAUAAUGAAUACUUAUUGCUAUUUAACUGAAGUCGAGGGGAACACUGAAUGACGAAACAACUUAAAUAGCUAUUUUCACACAUUUAUAAUGCAAUUUAAGCAUGAGAAUAGUUUAUAAAAUUAGACAAUUUCACAACGUAUUCAAGUAUAUCGCUUCGCUGCAUAAGAAACAGUCUUUCAAGCGAUUUGAAACUGACACAAUUUCAGCUCUCAACAAAUAUUGAAAAUGAUAUUCUUCAAGUUGGAACCUUAUUUUCUUGUAUUCCUCGUUGUAUGCAAUGUUGAUGUAUUGGUGAAGAAUCAACGCCUUUUAGAUGUAAACGUAGAUAUCGCAACAAUCAACAAUGGUGGCGUGCACAUAGGCUAAGUUUGAAAUUGUAAAUAAAUUAUAUGCUUGCCGAUUGUAUAAAAUGAAGAUUCUACGUGGGCUAAGGCUAAGCUUGAGAUUGUAAUUAAAUUUGAUGCACGGAAUUAUA